UUGUUUUUGCAGCACAUGUACUAAAAUUGGAAUGAUAUAAAGAAGAUAUUACCAGGGCUCAAUGCAAGGAUGACAUGUAAAUACAUGCAGUGUUUCAUAUUUUA
Small nuclear RNA from Gopherus agassizii (Agassiz's desert tortoise), 104 nucleotides. The record is from Ensembl. NCBI's taxonomy places the organism in Eukaryota, Metazoa, Chordata, Testudines, Testudinidae.